CCCCGACCAAGAGGGGUUUUGACCCCGCCGCAUGAAUGGCUAAACGGCCCCCCUUAGCCACCCCGGCCACUGGAGACAAGGAGCAAGGAGGGCGACAAACUGCCACCCUCGCUAGAGGGGCAACAGAAGACCCGCCGUCGCUCCCACCACCGUAGCAGAAGCUGCGGCUUCCCGUGGCCUCACGGAGACACCACGUGCAGCGAUGGCUCUCGCUACCGUCGCCGCUGGGGGGCUACUUCCCUGCUCGAUCUGCUGCAGUGUCCCACCGCCGUCAUCGGCAUGACAGCAGCCAUGGCCGCUGCACCGUUCGCCGAACGGUGUGGGU
Molecule: long non-coding RNA, 325 nt
Filed under: Elaeis guineensis (African oil palm)
Lineage: Eukaryota; Viridiplantae; Streptophyta; Magnoliopsida; Arecales; Arecaceae
Description: long non-coding RNA (EGUI_LNC000018)
Source: RNAcentral